Molecule: ribosomal RNA, 537 nt
Filed under: uncultured bacterium
Lineage: Bacteria
Description: bacterial SSU rRNA
Rfam family: Bacterial small subunit ribosomal RNA
Source: RNAcentral
AGGGAAUAGAUACCCGGGUAGUCCACGCCCUAAACACUGUCCGCUAGCUUUGGGGAGUAUCGACCCUCUCCGAGGCGAAAGCUAAACGCGUUAAAGCGGACCGCCUGGGUAGUACGAGCGCAAGCUUAAAACUCAAAGGAAUAGACGGGGGCUCGCACAAGCGGUGGAUCAUGGGGCUUAAUUCGUCACUAAGCGAGGAACCUUACCAAGACUAGAAAUCAUACUGCACGCCUCCUGAAAGGGAGGAAGCCUUCGAGGGUGUAUGACAGGUGAUGCAUGGCCGUCGUCAGUUCGUGGCUUGAGCUGUUCCCUUAAGUGGGGAAACGAACGCAACCCUCGUUGCCUGUUACAAGUGUCAGGCGAGACUGCUCCCUCAUGGGAGAGGAAGGUGAGGAUGACGCCAGGUCAGCAUGUCCCUAGAUGUCUUGGGCUGCACCCGUGAUACAAUGGGUAGUACAACGAGACGCAAUGUCGUAAGACGGAGCAAAUCUUUAUAAAACUAUCCCCAAUUCGGAUUGAGGUCUGCAACUCGACCUC